RNAcentral lists this long non-coding RNA (1289 nucleotides) under Physcomitrium patens. Its description in RNAcentral is "long non-coding RNA (PPAT_LNC006957)". Lineage: Eukaryota; Viridiplantae; Streptophyta; Bryopsida; Funariales; Funariaceae. The record is from RNAcentral.
AACGCUGCUAGAGAGGUCUGUGUGUUGCUGUUGGUGUCGGUAGGCUCCACAGUCUUUACACCAUGGUGCGAAUCAGCGUUUUGAACGAUGCGUUGAAGAACAUGUUCAACGCGGAGAAGCGGGGAAAGCGGCAGGUGCUGUUGCGGCCCUCAUCCAAGGUCGUCAUCAAGUUCUUGUCCGUGAUGCAGAAGCACGGUAUGCAUCACGAUCUGAUUUUUUUUUGUGUGGCUACGGUUUAUUAGGAUUGAUUGCGUUUCUGGACUCGGUGAAUGUUGAUCGCGAGGUAUUGCUCAUUUUCAAUCCAGAUUUUUAGGGUUUCAUUGGCUGAACUAUUCCUGUAGUUAUGGUGACUACAUUUAACUCGUCGUUUUUCGGCAUCCUCAUUUAUUGCGUCCAUGCCUGAAUACUUGAAUGUAUGCAAAUCUAUUCGUUAUAUAUAUAUAUAUAUAUAUAUUUUCUUAGCUUGUGGUUGGAAACUGAAUUGAAAAGCGUUUCUUUUUCUUUUUCUUUUUUUCUUCUGUAUAAGAGUGGUCCAUCUCUGUGUUAUCAGUAUUGUAUUGCGAGGAAUUACAAGAAUGAUGCUGUUUACUUCUGAAUUUUUUCAGGGUACAUUGGGGAGUUCGAACUGGUUGAUGACCAUCGAGCUGGCAAGAUUGUGGUAGAGCUCAACGGUAGAUUGAACAAGUGUGGUGUAAUCAGUCCUCGUUACAACGUCGGAGUUGGUGAAUUGGAAGCAUGGACUGCUCGGCUCCUACCAUCUCGUCAGGUUUGUGGUCCGAUCCUCAAAGUUUGAUUUCGUACCUAGCACUUGCAUUCGUAUAAAUGCAUCAGAUUUAGUAUCUAUCUCGAGUACCUAAUACCUUGAGACGAGAUCUAGAUUUAUUUUUGAACUUCCCUUACUGGCUAUUGUUUUUUAGCUCCAGAUCUUCUCCGCACGAUUUGUGCAGAGUUAGAGUGCUAAAACUGUUCACAAAUAAAUUUGAACUGUUUGGACUUGGUGAUUGAAGUUGUCGCACGACAUGUAACUUACCCUUCUAGUGCAGGAUUUCGAGUAGUAUAAACGUACAAGUAAAUCAGAAUGUUCGACCAUGUCAUUUACUGUUUGUCCUGUUGUGCAGUUUGGCUACAUUGUAUUGACGACCUCAGCUGGUAUUAUGGAUCACGAUGAGGCUAGGCGUAAGAACGUAGGAGGAAAGGUCUUAGGAUUCUUCUAUUAAGAUGAUCCAGUGUCACAUAUCUGGACCAUCGCAGGUCACAAGGUUUGCCUGCAAUUUUUUGAGAAAGUAUUU